UUAAGGAAUAUUGGGCAAUGGGCGAAAGCCUGACCCAGCCAUGCCGCGUGCAGGAUGACGAUCUUACGGAUUGUAAACUGCUUUUAUAUAGGAAGAAAAUACUCUUGCGAGAGUAACUGACGGUACUAUAAGAAUAAGGACCGGCUAACUCCGUGCCAGCAGCCGCGGUAAUACGGAGGGUCCAAGCGUUGUCCGGAUUUAUUGGGUUUAAAGAGUGCGUAGGUGGUUUAUUAAGUCAGUGGUGAAAUCCUGCAGCUCAACUGUAGAACUGCCAUUGAUACUGAUAAACUUGAGUUUGGUUUAGGUAAGUGGAAUUUAUGAUGUAGCGGUGAAAUGCAUAGAUAUCAUAAGGAACACCAAUAGCGAAGGCAGCUUACUGGACCAUAACUGACACUGAGGCACGAAAGCGUGGGUAGCGAACAGG
RNAcentral lists this ribosomal RNA (424 nucleotides) under uncultured bacterium. RNAcentral describes it as "bacterial SSU rRNA". It matches the Rfam family "Bacterial small subunit ribosomal RNA", at positions 354 to 776 of the family's 1533-position model. The record is from RNAcentral.